This 375-nucleotide unclassified non-coding RNA is filed under the name Athalia rosae (coleseed sawfly). RNAcentral describes it as "misc RNA ENSAEAG00005002759.1". The record is from RNAcentral. Lineage: Eukaryota; Metazoa; Arthropoda; Insecta; Hymenoptera; Athaliidae.
UUAUAUCUCUGAAUAAAUAUCGAGAAUGUGAUUCCCCACAGGUUCGUAUAUGAACGAAAUCGGGAUCAUAUCGCUGACGCAACGCGUGAGAUGUGAACCAGGGACUCCGAAGAAUCCCUCGCUGAUGACCAGCAGCAUCGAGGAGCUUUCGCGGCGAACAAUAUAUAAUGGGUACUACCUGUUCCUGGGAACAAGAAUAUUGUACGCCGCCCACGGGGGGCGGUAAAUUAAUCGUGGAGAAGGAGAGAAGUAAAAGGAAACCGGCUGAUUGUGAGUUUUUCCGAAAAUUAUUUUUUAUCCAUUACAACAAGUGUAUUGUAUAUGUUCGCGGUGAACGUUGAUUUAUUUUUAACUAACCACCGGAUCGGAAGUUUU